UUCAGCCACUAGCCCCUUGGGUCCAUCAUUAUUCCAUAAUCAGCACAACCUGAAGGCAGACCCAGUUGCCAUGCUAAGGAUCAUGCUCAACCACGCGCCAGCACCUCUUCUCCCAGCACUUGGGACUGAGCCCCCAUAGCAUGGCAUGUGUGUUAAUGCUUUUGCAAAACUAGGAGCACCUCAGAAGCUAUCUCAGCCCUGGGUGCUGUCUCCCCAGUCUUCUCCCCACUCCAUGCCCCAGUGCAGCCCUGGUCACAGUGCUGAUUACAAAGCUGCAGAGCGAUAAGUAAACCAGUUGUUCUUGGCCUUUUCCUCACAGACUCCUUGAAUGUCCCCAGGUUGUGGCUGUGCUUUUACUACUGCUGGAUGGUAACAAAGUCCACAAAACAGGUCACAAGCCACCCCUCACGUCCGUGUAAUGCCUCAUGAUUUUCGAUUGUUAUCUCAUGGGAUCCUUCCACAAUCCAGUGAAAUAAGCAGGCAUGAUGGAGAACAGAUCAUGGACCCACUCUCAUGGACUGGACCUUCAUGGAGCUUACUGUCUAACAGGGGAGACAGACAUCAAUUCAAAACUGAAAAAAAUAAGUAUCUAAUUGCAAACCAUGAUAAGUGCUAUGAAAAAAAAAUUUAUGGCUCUAUUGGUGUGAAUGACAGAAGGUCCUGACCCAGACUGGGGAAUCAAGGAAGCUUUCUCUGAGGAAACGAUGUUUGAAUUACAGUCUAAAGAAUAAAGAGGAGGCUGGGUGAGGUGGUUCAUACCUGUAAUCCCAGCACUUUGAGAGGCCAAGGUGGGCAGAUCACUUGAGGCCAGGAGUUCAAGACCAGCCUAGCCACCAUGGUGAAACCCCAUAUCUACUAAAAAUACAAACGUUAGCCAGGUAUGGUGACACAUGACUGUAACCUCAUCUACUUGGGAGGCUGGGGCAUGAGAAUUGCUUGAACCCAGGAGGCAAAAGUUACAGUGAGCCAAGAUUGUACCACUGCACUCCAGCCUGGAUGAUAGAACGAGACUGUUUCAAAAAAAAAAAAAAAAAAAAGGAGAAGAGGAAUAAUUAGGUAAUGGGGUGUGUGUGUGUGCGCGCACGCGUGUGUGUAUGUGCACGUGUGUGUGCAGUAGCAUGUGCCCCUGUGGAAGAGGGAGGUAUUCCAGAGAGAGAACAGAGUGUGUACAAAUGUCUUGAAGGAGAGAUAUGAGAAGGGGCAGGUGUGGUUUGAGAGGUGGGUAAAGGCAGGGAGGACCCAAGUCACUCAGGGCCUUAAAGGCCACGGUGAGGAGUCUGGCUCAAGGACAAUGAAAGACUCGCCGUGGAAGGAUUUCAAGUGAUCAGAGCUUUGUUUUGAAAAGACCCCUCUGGCUGCAGACUGAAGGAUCUAGAUGGGCUUCUUGAAGGCCUGUCAAGGAGCCACUGCAGUGGCCCAGGUGAGGCAUGCAGUGGUAGGACGGCCUAGAAUGGGGGACAGAGUGGGGAUGUUUACAAGGCAAAAUUGGCAGAUCCUGUCAAGGCAGGUGAGGGAGAUGGAACGUCAGGGCUGAUUUCCGGUUUGCACGGUGGGGUGAACAGUGGCGUGGCUCACUGGAUCAGGCACACAGGUAGAGAACUAGUUUGGGAGUUAAGAUAAUGACUUUGGUUUUGUGCAUGCUGGUUUUGAGGAGUCAUAGGGACAUCCAAGUAGAGUCGUUUAGUGGGAAAUUGGCGACUGGGGCUGAUGCUAAGAGGAGAGAGCUGGGCUGAGACAUAAAUUUGGCAGUUGUCAGUGUGUAGAUGGUAACUGAAGUCAUGAGUGAAUAUGAGACUGCCCAAGAAUAGAAUAUAAAGUUAAAAAAAAAUAGGAAAAAAAUGUCUGAUUUGGCAGUAUCCACUAAAGCUAAACAGAAUCAUACCCUAUGACUUAACCAUAGAUCCUAGUCAUAUUCCCAAGAGAAAUGAGUGCAUAUAUCAACCAAAAAACAUGAACAAGAAUGUUCAUAGUAGCUUUAGAGAUAAGAGCCAAAAACUAGUAACAACCCAAAUAUCUAGCAUCGGUAGAAUGGAUUAAAUGUGGCACAUUCAUACAAUCAGAUACUAUACAGCAUCAAACAAGAACCAACCACUGCCACACACAACACCAUGGCUGAAUCUCACAAACAUAAUCACAAGCAAAACAAAACAAAUAGAUACAAAAGAGUAUAUACUGUAUAGGGGAUACACAUAUACCAGGAGGUUCAAGUAUGAGUGAAAUUGAUCUAUACUGAUAGAAUAGUGGUUAACGUUUGUGGGGUAGCACUGACUAGGAAACAGCCUGAAGGAACUUUGUGGGGUGCUGGAAAUGUUUUAUAUCAAUGUAAAUACAUACCAAUGUAAAAUAAAAAUACCACAUUGUAAGACAUACCAGUGUAAAUAUUCUUCAAGCUAUAAUACUGGUGCAUUGUACUCUUACGAUUUAAAAGAUCAGAGCUUGGGACUGAGCCUUGAGUAGUGACAACACUAAAUGACCAAGUAGAAGAAAAUGAACUGGCAGAGACAGAGGAGUGGGUAGACAUAGGAAGAAAACCAAGAGAGUAUGAUUGUCAAGAAAGGGAGUAGUUCAAAAAAGAGGUGGUGGGGGCCUGGUGUGGUGGCUCACACCUGUAAUCCCAGCACUUUGGGAGGUUG
Long non-coding RNA from Callithrix jacchus (white-tufted-ear marmoset), 2633 nucleotides. RefSeq lists it as uncharacterized. The record is from RefSeq and is a predicted model, not a curated record. Lineage: Eukaryota; Metazoa; Chordata; Mammalia; Primates; Cebidae.